UUAUGUUGAGAAUAGUGUUGUAAUUAGUUAUAAGAAACUGACAUAGUUACGUAUUCUUUCGAUUUACAAAGAUAAAAGUACUGAAACCAGAUAACCGCAUUUAAUUAAAAAACAACUUGUAUUCACAAAAAAAGAUUAAAGUAGUCAACAUUAUGGAAAAGAUUACAUUUCUUACAGACUUUGAGAGAGCAACUAUUUGUCAACUUAUCUGUUAAAAGACUGGAUUGCAGCUCCUUAUCAUUCGUAACUGAGUCUAUAUCCUAAUAGUCCUGUCCCCAUUUCCUACCAACUCCCACCUACACCUGUCAAUAGCAUCCUGUCUACCGGCACAAAUCUUACUUAACUGAAUCACAUUUUGAAAAACUGAACUACCAGUAUCAAAUAAUUCUUUGGUAUUAUGAAACAUGUGGUUACACUACACUAUAUGAUCAAUGAUGGUUUAAAUUCAAAACGUUUAAUGGUUAAAUAUCAUGGAAAGAAUUGCUUUUUUGUAGAAUAAAAAGAUGCAAAUUGGGUACAAAUAAACGAUAACUGAUGAACCAAGUAUAAUUGUUUGUAAUGGAUAUCUGAUGAACAAAAUACAAUGGUUUGUUAAGAAGUGAUUAAAAGAUAUACAAAGCAUUUUAAAGUCUUUUAUGAAUGUGUAUAUAUAUGUGUGAGUGCGUGUGUGUGUGUGCAUGUGUGUGUGUGUGUGUGUGUGUGUGUGUGUGUGUGUGUGUGUGUGUGUGUGUGUGUGUGUGUGUGUGUGUGUAAGUGAUUGCGUGUGUGUGUAACUAACAACUACAAUGGUGCACAUUCAGUUAACCAUUCUGAAUUGAUAUUAAGUACUUAAUAAAACAAAAAUUAAACUUUAACUCUUUAAAAUUCUAAAUAAAAGUUAUACUUUUAUAACAGUUUUUCAAAUUUUAUUAUAUUUUUUAUUAUAUAUUUAUUAAAUGUAUUAGACAUUUACAUAGAAGUAGUAAACUUUGAUCUACAACAAUAAAGUUAAUAAGUCAUUAUAUAUACAGUGGUGGAAUGAGACUUCUUGGGGCCAGGGGCUAUUUUUGU
Molecule: non-coding RNA, 1050 nt
Organism: Hydra vulgaris (swiftwater hydra)
Lineage: Eukaryota; Metazoa; Cnidaria; Hydrozoa; Anthoathecata; Hydridae
Source: RefSeq, a predicted model, not a curated record